GACGAACGCUGGCGGCGUGCUUAACACAUGCAAGUCGAACGAUGAAGCGGUGCUUGCACCGUGGAUUAGUGGCGAACGGGUGAGUAAUACGUGAGUGACCUACCUUUGACUCUGGGAUAAGCCUGGGAAACUGGGUCUAAUACCGGAUACGACCAAUCUCUGCAUGGGGUGUUGGUGGAAAGCGUUAUGGAGUGGUUUUAGAUGGGCUCACGGCCUAUCAGCUUGUUGGUGAGGUAAUGGCUUACCAAGGCGACGACGGGUAGCCGGCCUGAGAGGGUGACCGGCUACACUGGGACUGAGACACGGCCCAGACUCCUACGGGAGGCAGCAGUGGGGAAUAUUGCACAAUGGGCGCAAGCCUGAUGCAGCGACGCCGCGUGAGGGAUGACGGCCUUCGGGUUGUAAACCUCUGUUAGCAUCGAAGAAGCGAAAAUGACGGUAGGUGCAGAGAAAGCGCCGGCUAACUACGUG
This 471-nucleotide ribosomal RNA is filed under the name uncultured bacterium. RNAcentral's name for it is "partial 16S ribosomal RNA". It matches the Rfam family "Bacterial small subunit ribosomal RNA", at positions 28 to 507 of the family's 1533-position model. The record is from RNAcentral.